GGUCCCGUAGCUCAAUUGGAUAGAGCACCUGCCUUCUAAGCAGGGGGUUGCAGGUUCGAGCCCUGCCGGGAUCGCCA
This 77-nucleotide transfer RNA is filed under the name Alphaproteobacteria bacterium. Its description in RNAcentral is "tRNA-Arg". It matches the Rfam family "tRNA". From Rfam's summary of the family: Transfer RNA (tRNA) molecules are approximately 80 nucleotides in length. Their secondary structure includes four short double-helical elements and three loops (D, anti-codon, and T loops). Further hydrogen bonds mediate the characteristic L-shaped molecular structure. tRNAs have two regions of fundamental functional importance: the anti-codon, which is responsible for specific mRNA codon recognition, and the 3' end, to which the tRNAs corresponding amino acid is attached (by aminoacyl-tRNA synthetases). tRNAs cope with the degeneracy of the genetic code in two manners: having more than one tRNA (with a specific anti-codon) for a particular amino acid; and 'wobble' base-pairing, i.e. permitting non-standard base-pairing at the 3rd anti-codon position. Lineage: Bacteria; Pseudomonadati; Pseudomonadota; Alphaproteobacteria. The record is from RNAcentral.